This 467-nucleotide ribosomal RNA is filed under the name uncultured bacterium. Its description in RNAcentral is "partial 16S ribosomal RNA". It matches the Rfam family "Bacterial small subunit ribosomal RNA", at positions 29 to 507 of the family's 1533-position model. The record is from RNAcentral.
GCGAACGCUGGCGGCGUGCUUAACACAUGCAAGUCGCACGGAAAGGCCCUGCUUUUGUGGGGUGCUCGAGUGGCGAACGGGUUAGUAACACGUUAGCAACCUGCCCUUGACUUUGGGAUAACUUCAGGAAACUUGGGCUAAUACCGGAUAGGAGCUCCUGCUGCAUUUUGGGUGUUGGAUAGUUUCGGCGGUUGGGGAUGGACUCGCGGCUUAUCAGCUUGUUGGUGGGGUAGUGGCUUACCAAGGCUUUGACGGGUAGCCGGCCUGAGAGGGUUACCGGCCACAUUGGGACUGAGAUACGGAGCAGACUGCUACGGGAGGCAGCAGUGGGGAAUAUUGCACAAUGGGCGGAAGCCUGAUGCAGCAACGCCGCGUGCGGGAUGACGGCCUUCGGGUUGUAAACCGCUUUCGCCUGUGACGAAGCGUGAGUGACGGUAAUGGGUAAAGAAGCACCGGCUAACUACGUG